UCCCCGCUGUCUCAACCAUGAGCUCGGCGAAAUUGCAGUACGAGUAAAGAUGCUCGUUUCGCGCAGAAGGACGGAAAGACCCCGGGACCUUUACUACAGCUUGGUAUUGGCGCCCGCUAUAGCUUGUGCAGGAUAGGUGGGAGACUGUGAAGCCGUUACGCCAGUAGCGGUGGAGUCGUCCUUGAAAUACCACUCUGGUUAUGGCGUGCGCCUGAACCUGGGCCCGUGAUCCGGGUUAGGGACAGUGCCUGGUGGGUAGUUUAACUGGGGCGGUUGCCUCCUAAAGUGUAACGGAGGCGCUCAAAGGUUCCCUCAGCCUGGUCGGCAACCAGGUGUUGAGUGCAAGUGCACAAGGGAGCUUGACUGUGAGACCGACGGGUCGAGCAGGUACGAAAGUAGGAACUAGUGAUCCGGCGAUCCCGUGUGGGUGGGUCGUCGCUCAACGGAUAAAAGGUACCCCGGGGAUAACAGGCUGAUCCUGCCCAAGAGUCCAUAUCGACGGCAUGGUUUGGCACCUCGAUGUCGGCUCGUCGCAUCCUGGGGCUGGAGCAGGUCCCAAGGGUUGGGCUGUUCGCCCAUUAAAGCGGUACGCGAGCUGGGUUUAGAACGUCGUGAGACAGUUCGGUCCCUAUCCUCUGCGCGCGCAGGAGACUUGAGAAGGCCUGUCCCUAGUACGAGAGGACCGGGACGGACGAACCUCUGGUGUGCCAGUUGUCCCGCCCGGGGCACGGCUGGUUGGCUACGUUCGGGACGGGUAACCGCUGAAAGCAUCUAAGCGGGAAACCAUCUUCAAGAUAAGGUCUCCGCAGGACACCUCGGUGUCCUGGUAGGCCCCCAGCAGACUACUGGGUUGAUAGGCCAGAAGUGGAAGACCGGUAACGGCCUCGAGCUGACUGGUACUAAUCGGCCGACACAAACAACAA
Molecule: ribosomal RNA, 923 nt
Filed under: human oral metagenome
Description: bacterial LSU rRNA
Rfam family: Bacterial large subunit ribosomal RNA
Source: RNAcentral